GGCGACGGGCGCCCCCGGAGGCCUUCAAACACUGCAUCUUUGCGUCGGAGUAAAAGUUAAUUAAACAAAACUUUCAACAACGGAUCUCUUGGUUCUGGCAUCGAUGAAGAACGCAGCGAAAUGCGAUAAGUAAUGUGAAUUGCAGAAUUCAGUGAAUCAUCGAAUCUUUGAACGCACAUUGCGCCCUUUGGUAUUCCGAAGGGCAUGCCUGUUCGAGCGUCAUUUCACCACUCAAGCCUCGCUUGGUAUUGGGCGCCGCGGUUUUCCGCGCGCCUCAAAGUUUCCGGCUGAGCUGUCCGUCUCUAAGCGUUGUGAUACAUAUUCGCUUCGGAGUGCGGGCGGUCGCGGCCGUUAAAUCUUUCACAAGG
This 368-nucleotide ribosomal RNA is filed under the name Ascomycota sp. ARIZ PAAsh1-10. RNAcentral's name for it is "eukaryotic LSU rRNA". The stretch from base 69 to 222 matches the Rfam family "5.8S ribosomal RNA". Lineage: Eukaryota; Fungi; Ascomycota. The record is from RNAcentral.